AUGUCGACCUCGUCUCCCACCUCGUCGCCGCCUCCCUCCGCUGACGGAGGCGACGACGGCGGCGGGGCCCGCUGCAUCUCGCCGACGUCCUCCCGUCGGAAGGUCUCCCCCAACCGCAGCGGCGGGAGCUCCCGCAAGAGUCCAGGUUCAAGAGAAUUUGGAAACUCAGUACUGAAAUCUGUGAAUAAGUCGACAUCCCAGUUCAAGAAAUCUGUGAUUCGCAGAAGUGGUCCUUCGAUUGAUUGGUUCCCUAGGAAAAAAACUGAAUCAUACUUGAAAAGAAAGAUAAAGCGUCUUCAGGAGACUGAUGGUAUGACCGCAUCCCUUCAUGAUACUCUGGAAAAUUCCAAUCUUCAUUAUACUAGGAUGGCAAGGGAGAAAAUUGCAGCCAGUGAAGCGGCCAGAAAGGCGAUGGAAGCUCGCAAGACUGCUAUGGUUGAAGCUUCGUGGUGUAGAAUUCUUCAAACAGCCAGGAUCCAAAACAAAGAAGCUGAAGAACUUAUGGAAAAGGCCAAGUUGCAUGCGACUGAAGCAUUUGAAUACGCUAGAGUAAUAGGUAUCAUGAUGUAUGACAAGCCUGACUGUCCCAGUCAGCAGUAUGAGGUGGAAUCCUCGGCAAAAACUGGAGGAAGACCAACUCACAAGGUUACAGCGUCCUUUCAGACUGCUUUUGAGGUUGAUAUGGAGGUUGCUGCUGCAGUGAAGAAGGCAUUUGUCAAACUUGCAAACUCUCCUGAUUUGUCAAACCAAGAAGAGUUUAAGGAGCUAUUGCGGAAAAUUAGCCAAAAUCCAGAUGCGACUGAUAGUGAUGUGAAUUCUGAAGCUGAGCAGCAGCUUGGUGACUGUAACAAUGAAGAAACAAACAAUUUCAAAUCCAAUAACAAUACCUCCAGAAGAAGCAUCUUUCCAUCUGAUUUCAACACUGCUGAUCUAGAACAAUCCACUGAUCUUGUAAACAUUAUGCUUGAAAGGAUAAAAGCUCUUCAUGAAGACGACCUUGCCUCUUUGGCGGUCAUUGUUGCCACAUCUGGCCUAAAUGCAGCACUUCAAAGGGAUAAGGGAAAAUUUCCUGAAAUGAAGCCUGUGAGCCACACUACUGCAGGGUCACACAGACCACAAUCAAGAAGAUAUUCCACUGCAGCCAGCUUUAUUGAUAUACAAGGACCAAAGAAAGAAGUCUCGUCUGAAUUACCCAGUCUGGACAAGUUCUUGGUCAAGCAUCAUUCAAAACUAGAAAGAGAAGUUCAAGAAGCAAAAGAAGCAUGCAGAAAAGUCACUUCAGCAAAACCUGUUGUACAAGAUGGCCAGGGCCAACUUGCAGGGAGCUACACAACGGCACUAGAAUCUGCUUCUGAUCUGGGCAGCAUUCUUGUGAAGAAUAUGUCUAGGCUUGAGAAAGAGAUCUUGGAAGCCAAGAAGAGCAACCAAUGCGCCGAUUCUUCUGAAGGGAGCUGUAAGGUUGUUACAGAUGAUGCGCAAGCCAGCACCGAAGAAUCUGAAUCUCUCAAGGGUCAGUCAGAAGUCUUGUCUGACAGCAAUGUAAAGAGAAACUGUGAUAACAGGGAAUCGGUUGAAGAAAGCAAUUGCGUUCAAGCCUGUACCGAUUCUUCACAAGAUAAAGAAAACAGAAUUUUAAGUUCACAUAAGCUGCCACCCUUGGCUGCAAAGGGUAACCAUGGUGGCAAAAGAUUGACUCGAAUUGAAGCUGCAAAGCUUGAAGCACUUAGAAGUUUCUGCACUAAGGAUGGCAGUGAAGUAGAUGUUGGCCUCGAUAAGGUCUUUGUUAAGCCAACCAAUAGACUGGAGAUGGAAAAGAGAAAAGCACUGGAGCAAGGACAGACCGACGUGCAGAAGCAGAAAGAUCCACAGAAGUGUUGUGAUAACACACCAGUGAGUUUAGAUGAGAUUUUAGUGAAGCGUGUAUCAAGACUGGAAAGAGAGAAAAUGGAGUAUGAGAAGAGGAAUGCCUCGGGACAAGGACAGACCAUUGUGUCACGUGAUCAGCGGAAGUAUGGCAACAUUGCUACAGCAUCCGAGAGCUUGGAUCAAGUCCUAGUAAAACGUGUUAGUCGACUAGAAAGGGAGAAGAUGGAAUAUGAGAAGAGGAAUGCAUCAGGAGGAGCAAGAACUGGUGUGCAGACUGGUAACGAUGACAAAGCAUCUGAUAGUUUAGAUCAGAUCUUGGUUAAACAUGUCUCCAGGCCUGAAAAGGAGAAGAUGGAGCAAGAAAAGAAGGGUGGUAGUGACACACUAUUGCUGAAGAAGAGUGAUACACAGUGUGCAGAUGGAGCGGCCGGAGGCCUUGCUGACAUCUUUGUCAAGCGUCCAACGAAGCUUGAGCAAGCCAAGCAGGCUGCUGCUGCUGCUGCUGCUGAAGGAAAUUCGACAAGAGUCUUAAACCCCGCUGAAGAGCGCAGGAGAGCGAGGGAGAAAGAGCUUCUGGAUGCAUGGGGAGGAGAGGGGCUUGGGAGCUCGGUGAAGCCCCAUCUGUCCAAGAUUGAGAGUGACAAGGCUGCAUGCAGGAAAACAGAGGGAGAACUGAAGCAGGAGCGCAGAAGAGCAAGGGAGAAGGAGCUUCUUGAUGCAUGGGGAGGAGUGGGGCUCGGCAACUCGAUGAAGCCACAUCUCUCCAAGAUCGAGAAAGAUAAGGCUGCAUGGAGAAAACUAGAGGAGGAACAGAAGCAGAUAUGUGCUGGUACAACGGAGCUGUGA
RNAcentral lists this ribosomal RNA (2712 nucleotides) under Triticum aestivum (bread wheat). RNAcentral's name for it is "partial small subunit ribosomal RNA". Lineage: Eukaryota; Viridiplantae; Streptophyta; Magnoliopsida; Poales; Poaceae. The record is from RNAcentral.